Long non-coding RNA from Sarcophilus harrisii (Tasmanian devil), 482 nucleotides. RefSeq lists it as uncharacterized. The record is from RefSeq and is a predicted model, not a curated record. The transcript has 3 exons. Lineage: Eukaryota; Metazoa; Chordata; Mammalia; Dasyuromorphia; Dasyuridae.
CUUAGAGAAAGAACCCCGAGGGACUAUUUUCGUUACUCGUGGAAGAAUACAUGUAAAACUACUUUCCCAAGAGGCUCCGCGAAGGUUUGACUUUCCCAGAAGCGCUUGCUGGGAAGGGUAACCGGUCAGCUGUAGUGUCUCAGGGCACGCCGGGAGUUAUAGUCCGCGGGUUAAAUUAAGUCGACAUGAAAGACUGCCUCUUGGGAAUUGUAGUUUGAAUGCGCAGAUACAAAACGCUUCGCAGUUAAGUCUCAAAAGCAAGUUUGACUCCCCUUAAGAAGGGAAAGAACUCUCAAAAAAAAAAAAAAAGUAAGGGGGACCCAGAAGAGGAGAGAGGACAGGAAUCAAGAAAGACACCAAGUCUAGGAUGCAAAUGAAAACCCUGGGAAAGAGGACAGAGAAAAAAAAAAAAAACAGCCUUUGGUUUGAACCUCAAGGAAGCAAGAGAGCCAGGUGGCUGUGGCCCUGGGCUGGGACUCCAU